RNAcentral lists this long non-coding RNA (3290 nucleotides) under Volvox carteri. RNAcentral describes it as "long non-coding RNA (VCAR_LNC002809)". The record is from RNAcentral. Lineage: Eukaryota; Viridiplantae; Chlorophyta; Chlorophyceae; Chlamydomonadales; Volvocaceae.
UCUGCUCGACGGCUUCGCGUUGGAAUGCUUGAACUGGGGCCUGCUCCUGCUCUUGUUGCUCCUCCUCCUGCGACCGACCCUUUCGUACUACGACUAAUAGCUCCUGGUAGAUGGUACUUAGGUCAACCCUUCGUUAGUGCAAAAAUCUUUAAUUUUUUUAUUUUUGGUAAAAAGAAAAAAGAAAACAAUUUUUUAACUAAAUUACUUGUGAAGUUCUGGAAAUCUUAAAAAACUUUUUAGGAAUUCAUAAAAAAAAUUUAGGAUCAGGAAAAACUUUUAAGGAAAUCGGAGGUGUAGAUUAAAGGUAAAAGUAAAAAGUAAAAGUUAAAGGUUAGAGUUAAAGUAAUGAGUUAGAAGGUCGUAUUAGUCGAAAAGAAUCGAAAAACUUAAAGAGGAGAAGCUGGAAAGAGAGGUAUGUGUUAUAGAGUCUGUUUUAGGGGUGAUUAGCUAGGGUUGAGAAAUAGGUAAGUUUUGUGAGAGAGGUUUGGAAGGUUUAGACUGAGGGGAUAAAAAGCGACGAGUAUAAAUUUAUUGAAGGUAUGUUGUGUGUGGAGGGCUUGAAAGUAGUUUUUGUGUAUAGGUGAGAUGUAAAGAACUAGAGGUGGAGUUGUGGCUUAGGUGAAGGAGUGUUAAGGAAAGAUAAGUGCUGGGAGGGGUUUGGUCCAAGCUGAGAGUUUGAUAGGUGUAGUGCGUGGAAAGUAGUGAAAAAAGAAAAAACUGGGUGUAGCUGGAAGAGAACUAGAUGGGCUGCUAAGCGAGUGCAAGCUGACCUAAAGAAAGCUGCUGAAGCUAUAUUUAGCAAGGCACGUCACGACGCGUUUCGGCCUUGCCAGGGCCUCAUCAGGUGACUCUUGCGCUAAGUUUAGGUGCUUUGCUAUGCUAAGAGCCCCCUGAGAUGUAGAAAACGUAAACUGACCGUAGUGGGCGAACUGUACCAGUGGUGAAGAAGUUUGGUGGUGGUAGUUGGUGUUCGCAGAGCGGUUUUAGUCCAAUCGAUGGUGGUUGUCAAGUGGUGAGCGAGGACGAGCCUGAAUGAAAAACGUAAUGAUAGUGAGUUGUAAAGUCAAUUGCAGUGGGUGUAGGAGCCUGGUUUGGAGGUUUAUGAGCAGUUACGAGUUGGCAUGGCGGGUAUGUACGAUAUGGGUACUCGACGAGCAAUCACGGAGGUUUGAAUUGAAAACUAGCUGUGUUGCGAUGGAUUAUUUGCGAGGAAAAAGAAAGGCGGACGGCUGGGGAGGACUUACUGUUGGUGGGCGAUGAUGAGGUUCGAACGGUGGCGUUGUGCAAGAUAGCACCGCGCGAAGAUUGUAGGUCUUUGUGGAUUAUAGGGAAUAAAGAUAAGUUGUUGUAGAUGAGGAUACUGAAGAGUGGUGGUAUUUGAUGUGAAAGGUGUGGGCUAUAGGUGUGGCUAUAGGUAUGACGGCGUUCGGUGUUAUAGGCGCGAUUGAGCGAGUUUGGGAAUAAAUGGUGAACGAGAUAUCAGUAUAUGUAUUAAAUGGAGCGCGCUUCUUUAAAUCGAGUGUUCGUUGCGAGUGGGUGUGGUUCCCUGGAGUGAGUUGUAUCGCCGGCGGGAGGUGCGACGUGUCGGUUUGGGCGUAGUAUACUUUUGUUGAAAGGAAUAUUUUUGUAGGCGUUGGGUAUUUUUGUUGGGUUGAGGGGAGAUAGUCUGUAUGCCUGGCGCAUAUAGUGGAUUGGGAGUUAUUGUGUUGCUGGCUUUUGCCGUUGGCGAGUUGUUGGAAAGGUGAUAUGGUAGUUAAGAAAAAGUGAAAAAAGAAAAAAAGGGUAAGGCUUUCGUAAGAGAAUAGCAGUGAGACGGUUGAGUUUGUUACAGAGUUAGUUAGUUAUUACGUAAUGUCAGAAUGUGAAGGGAUGUUUGGAAUAAGGUGGGGAUAGGGGGUAUAGUCGUUACAGGAAGGUGUGACGGUGAAGCUCAGACUUCAGAGUCUUAAGGGAUACGAGGGAUAUUUUAGGAAAGAUCCACCAGACCGUGAUAAGUGAAGUUUUGGGAAAUACGUUAUGGUGUAGGAUUGACGAUACGAGUGGAUUGUAAGUAGUUUAAAGGGAGGGGGGAGUUGCCAAGGUGGUUGCUGCUGCAAGUACUGUGUAACGGGAGUCGAAAAACGUUAAUGGUUAACGUGGCUGCUGCUGCUGCUGCUGCUGCGCUAAGGCCUGCCGUUGCAGCUCUAAGGCUAAGGGAGUCGGUCGCGGCAGCGACAGCUGAGGAUGAUGACGAAUCUUCGCGAAUGGCGGGAAGCUGGCAAAGGUAACCCUCCCUGCCGCUCCUCUGCCUCCGCAGCGGCAGCACGUUCGUCGCCCGCCCCUCUGCGCCUGUCACCUAUAGCUUGGUGUGACGCCUGUUGCAUCAUGUGUGCUUUCUUUGUUUUCCCUGUUGUGCAUGUUCAACAGGCGGGCUGCACCUGGCCUGGGUUGGCAUUCCGCUCAUGGUGCUGGUGCUGGUGGUCGGUCGUGGCGUCAGCAUCGUGGAUNNNNNNNNNNNNNNNNNNNNNNNNNNNNNNNNNNNNNNNNNNNNNNNNNNUUGUUGGAAAGGUGAUAUGGUAGUUAAGAAAAAGUGAAAAAAGAAAAAAAGGGUAUCGCCGAGGCUUUCGUAAGAGAAUAGCAGUGAGACGGUUGAGUUUGUUACAGAGUUAGUUAGUUAUUACGUAAUGUCAGAAUGUGAAGGGAUGUUUGGAAUAAGGUGGGGAUAGGGGGCAUAGUCGUUACAGGAAGGUGUGACGGUGAAGCUCAGACUUUAGAGUCUUAAGGGAUAUGAGGGAUAUUUUAGGAAAGAUCCACCAGACCGUGAUAAGUGAAGUUUUGGUAAUUACGUUAUGGUGUAGGAUUGACGAUACGAGUGGAUUGUAAGUAGUUUAAAGGGAGGGGGGAGUUGCCAAGGUGGUUGCUGCUGCAAGUACUGUGUAACGGGAGUCGAAAAACGUUAAUGGUUAACGUGGCUGCUGCUGCUGCUGCUGCUGUGGUGGUGGCGGUGGUGGCAGCGACGGUUUGGAGGGGCUUGCUGCUGCUAGUCUACUACUUUCUGCUCCUACUCCUACUCCUGCUCCUGCUCCUCCGCCUCGAUCUUUAUCCAGCAUCAUCUCCUGCUCCUGCUCCUGCUCCUGCUCCUGCUCCUCCUACAGCAGAGGUGCGGCUGCUCUCCACCUCUCAGCCUGAAGUUCCUCCUCCUCCUCCUCCUCCUCCUCCUGCUCCUGCUCCUCCUCUUCCUCCUCUUCCCCCUCCCGCCAGCACUCUAUAAUAAUAAUAAUAAUAGCACGUGCCGCCUCAUGUACGUUUUG